GACGAACGCUGGCGGCGUGCUUAACACAUGCAAGUCGAACGGUGAAGGGACCAGCUUGCUGGUUCUGGAUGAGUGGCGAACGGGUGAGUAACACGUGAGUAACCUGCCCCCUUCUUCUGGAUAACCGCAUGAAAGUGUGGCUAAUACGGGAUAUUCUGGGUCUGUCGCAUGGCGGGCCCGGGAAAGAUAUUGCUUCGGUGGGGGAUGGGCUCGCGGCCUAUCAGCUUGUUGGUGGGGUGAUGGCCUACCAAGGCGGUGACGGGUAGCCGGCCGGAGGGGGGGGACGGUCACACGGGGACUGGGACCCGGCCCAGACUCCUACGGGAGGCAGCAGUGGGGAAUAUUGCACAAUGGGCGCAAGCCUGAUGCAGCGACGCCGCGUGAGGGAUGGAGGCCUUCGGGUUGUAAACCUCUUUCGCCAGUGAAGCAGGCCUGCUCCUUGUGGGUGGGUUGACGGUAGCUGGAUAAGAAGCGCCGGCUAACUACGUG
RNAcentral lists this ribosomal RNA (489 nucleotides) under uncultured bacterium. RNAcentral describes it as "partial 16S ribosomal RNA". It matches the Rfam family "Bacterial small subunit ribosomal RNA", at positions 28 to 507 of the family's 1533-position model. The record is from RNAcentral.